CAAUAGCGUAUAUUAAAGUUGCUGCAGUUAAAAAGCUCGUAGUUGGAUCUCAGGAGAACGUUGUGGUUCGCCACUUGGUGUGACUACAGCUUACUCCUAAUCAGUUGUCAGUUGCUUUUCGUGUUCUUUACCGGAUGCGUAAAGUGCGCAACACGUUUACUUUGAACAAAUUAGAGUGCUCAAAGCAGGCCUCGUGUCUGAAUAUUUUUGCAUGGAAUAAUGGAAUAGGACUUCGUUUCUAUUUUGUUGGUUUUCGGUUACGAAGUAAUGAUUAAAAGAGACAGACGGGGGCAUCUGUAUGCCGGUGUUAGAGGUGAAAUUCGGUGAUCGCCGGCAGACAAACAACUGCGAAAGCAUUUGCCAAGGAUGUUUUCAUUAAUCAAGAACGAAAGUCAGAGGUU
Molecule: ribosomal RNA, 401 nt
Filed under: Platyhelminthes sp. MM01313
Lineage: Eukaryota; Metazoa; Platyhelminthes
Description: SSU rRNA
Rfam family: Eukaryotic small subunit ribosomal RNA
Source: RNAcentral